RNAcentral lists this small nucleolar RNA (81 nucleotides) under Cebus imitator (Panamanian white-faced capuchin). RNAcentral's name for it is "Small nucleolar RNA Z40 (ENSCCAG00000020231.1)". Lineage: Eukaryota; Metazoa; Chordata; Mammalia; Primates; Cebidae. The record is from RNAcentral.
AGUUUGUUAUGAUAAUGAGCAAAAUGUUCAACUACUACAAAUGGGCUGAGUGAACACUCAUUUCAGGUUUUCUGAACAUCC